Long non-coding RNA from Xiphophorus hellerii (green swordtail), 145 nucleotides. RefSeq lists it as uncharacterized. The record is from RefSeq and is a predicted model, not a curated record. NCBI's taxonomy places the organism in Eukaryota, Metazoa, Chordata, Actinopteri, Cyprinodontiformes, Poeciliidae. The transcript is spliced from 3 exons.
CAAACCAUGAUGAAAAGACAACAGGAAGUGGUAGGAGGAUGAUGGUGCAGCAUGGUUUUUAAUGACAUUGCAUGAGAAACUUAUUCAUAUGGGAUUUUAAUUGCGUUUCUUAUUUAAUGGCAACACAACAGUUAUGAAAUUGUUG